GUGAGGAAUUUUCCGCAAUGGGCGAAAGCCUGACGGAGCAAUGCCGCGUGAAGGAUGAAGGCCUAUGGGUUGUAAACUUCUUUUCUCAGAAAAGAAUUAUGACGGUAUCUGAGGAAUAAGCAUCGGCUAACUCUGUGCCAGCAGCCGCGGUAAGACAGAGGAUGCAAGCGUUAUCCGGAAUGAUUGGGCGUAAAGAGUCUGUAGGUUGUUUAAAAAGUAUUCUGUCAAAGAUUAGGGCUUAACCCUAGAUAGGCAGAAUAAACUUUUAAGCUAGAGUUUGGUAGAGGCAGAGGGAAUUCCCGGUGGAGCGGUGAAAUGCGUAGAUAUCGGGAGGAACACCAAAGGCGAAGGCACUCUGCUGGGCCAAUACUAACACUGAGAGACGAAAGCGAGGGGAGCAAAUGGGAUUAGAAACCCUGGUAGUCC
RNAcentral lists this ribosomal RNA (426 nucleotides) under uncultured bacterium. RNAcentral describes it as "bacterial SSU rRNA". It matches the Rfam family "Bacterial small subunit ribosomal RNA", at positions 354 to 796 of the family's 1533-position model. The record is from RNAcentral.